This is a long non-coding RNA of Lethenteron reissneri (Far Eastern brook lamprey), 1139 nucleotides long. RefSeq lists it as uncharacterized. Lineage: Eukaryota; Metazoa; Chordata; Hyperoartia; Petromyzontiformes; Petromyzontidae. The record is from RefSeq and is a predicted model, not a curated record.
CGGUAUGUUCACGUUACGCACGCGGGCACCAAUUUCGGCAAAUUCGAUCGCUCGUAAGUGGAUCGAGCCGAUUUAUGAGCGUUUUGAACUCGACUGGCUUUGUUUACAUUUCUUGGUUCUUUCGGUAAAGUCACGUAGAUGGGAAAUAAUAAAAUAAUAAAAAUUUCACAUGGAAAAUAAUCAAAUAUAAUUUUUUAUAUAAUAUACAAAAAAUGUAUUAUGUUAUAUUUUUAUUAUUUUAUAAUACCCUUCUACGUGACUUUACCGAAAGAACCAAGAAAUGUAAACAAAGCCAGUCGAGUUCAAAACGCUCAUAAAUCGGCUCGAUCCACUUACGAGCGAUCGAAUUUGCCGAAAUUGGUGCCCGCGUGCGUAACGUGAACAUACCGUGAAUCAAAAUGUUAACGUCAGUUGAAACCAUGGGGUCUUGUGGGAGGCGAAACGUUAGGGGCCGUCCAUAAAUGACGUCACGCGAUUUUGUACGAUUUUUGACCCCCCCCCCCGUCACACGGCGUCACAAAAACUCAGACCCCCCCCCCCCUCAAAUAUGACGUCACAAAUCUCUGCCCCCCCCCCAAACCAUAUUUCUAUUUUAAAAUAAAACAUGCUUCAAAUCGCUUUAAACUAUUGUCAUUGUAGUGCGUAUUUAAUGUGGCGCUGCACUCUGAUGUUGUAGGAGAAAACAUUUAUUAAAAGUCUAUUUAAUUAAGUGGAACGUGUUGUCUAUGUAUUUAAAGUUGCGUAUUUUGAUGUGACGUCACAUUUCUCAAACCCCCCCCCCCCCUCGUCACACAUCGUCACAAAUGUCUGACCCCCCUCCUAGUUGCGUGACGUCAUUUAUGAACGGCCCCUUAACCGAAAAACCGUUAACCGAUGUCACCGUUUACCGAGGGACUACUAUACUUCUAAAAGGUUGCGUGCAAUUGAUUUUUUUAAAGAUCGUUGUGAUAACGACGUUGAAGUGGCUGUAGGGGAACAAUUGAACCGACUGCAUAUAUCAGAAUCGACAUUUUUACACGAUUUUACACGUAUUGCUACUAAUUGAAUCGCAGUGCAUUGUUGUAACUACUCGGAAAAUCCUAGUCAUUGUGAUGUGUACAAUUUAUACGUAUGAAUAAACACAAUUCAACUCAAAAGUC